RNAcentral lists this ribosomal RNA (430 nucleotides) under Pseudomonadota bacterium. RNAcentral describes it as "Proteobacteria bacterium partial 16S ribosomal RNA". It matches the Rfam family "Bacterial small subunit ribosomal RNA", at positions 355 to 776 of the family's 1533-position model. Lineage: Bacteria; Pseudomonadati; Pseudomonadota. The record is from RNAcentral.
UGGGGAAUAUUGGACAAUGGGCGGAAGCCUGAUCCAGCCAUGCCGCGUGUGUGAAGAAGGCCUUUUGGUUGUAAAGCACUUUAAGCGAGGAGGAGGCUCUUCUAGUUAAUACCUAGGAUGAGUGGACGUUACUCGCAGAAUAAGCACCGGCUAACUCUGUGCCUGCAGCCGCGUUAAUACAGAGGGUGCGAGCGUUAAUCGGAUUUACUGGGCGUAAAGCGUGCGUAGGCGGCUGAUUAAGUCGGAUGUGAAAUCCCUGAGCUUAACUUAGGAAUUGCAUUCGAUACUGGUCAGCUAGAGUAUGGGAGAGGAUGGUAGAAUUCCAGGUGUAGCGGUGAAAUGCGUAGAGAUCUGGAGGAAUACCGAUGGCGAAGGCAGCCAUCUGGCCUAAUACUGACGCUGAGGUACGAAAGCAUGGGGAGCAAACAGG